GCCCCACAGCCCAUCGGAGGGGAGCAGGCGCAGGCUGCUACUGACAGGGAUGCCCCCCGUGUUGGCAGACAGCGAGUGUUACGAGAACACGGAGGAGGACAGCGCCCCGCUGAGCCCCGGAGCUGUGCGGCUUGUAACAGACCUGCGGAUGCUGCUGCUGGGUGCAUGUGAGGAGCCGGAGCGGGAUCGGCAGGACGGACACAGUGAGGGCUCUGCUGGUGAGAGGGGCUAGGAGCUCCCCCGGGGGGGUGAAGGGUUCCCAGAGCUUUCCCUCAUGCCCCCUUGUUCCCCACAGGCUCCCAGGCCUAUGAGGAGAUGGCCGGGGCUCUGUAUGCAGCCCCUGUCCGGCACCUCCGCCUCCGGGACUGCAGCCAGGAGGAAGAUGCCGAUUCCUACGAGAACAUGGAGGGGGGGCCGGGCUGCGUCCUGCCUCCCUGGGAGGGGAGCGUGGAACUGCGAGGAGACGCUGCUGGGCUAAGGGCCCCAGGGUCUGUCGGAGCUGAACCCCCCAGGCGAGGGGUGCCCCGGAGCCUGACUCGGGACUAGGAGACGCCACCCCUGGGCCGAGACAAGCAGCGAGUGUAGCUGAGCCCACGAGCACAGGGCUCC
This 609-nucleotide long non-coding RNA is filed under the name Gopherus agassizii (Agassiz's desert tortoise). Its description in RNAcentral is "lncRNA (ENSGAGG00000008635.1)". Lineage: Eukaryota; Metazoa; Chordata; Testudines; Testudinidae. The record is from RNAcentral.